Molecule: microRNA, 20 nt
Filed under: Ciona intestinalis (vase tunicate)
Lineage: Eukaryota; Metazoa; Chordata; Ascidiacea; Phlebobranchia; Cionidae
Description: cin-miR-4098-5p
Source: miRBase by way of RNAcentral
AUCGCUCUGUUAUGCUUCGG